Long non-coding RNA from Heterocephalus glaber (naked mole-rat), 2829 nucleotides. The record is from Ensembl. Lineage: Eukaryota; Metazoa; Chordata; Mammalia; Rodentia; Bathyergidae.
CUGGACUCUAAGCUGCUGCCCUCAGGAGCUCCAUGGUUGGGUGAGAGGCCAGGGUCCCCACGUCAACACCUCCAGCACAACAAAAUGAAACAACUAGGAACAUGAAAAAGCACGGCAACUAAACGCCUCCCAAGUCUCCCAAGCGUCCCAAGGCAGACCCAAAGGGUGCUGAUGGAGAGGAAAUCAAGCAGCAGACAUUCUGAGCUGCAGAAAACGAUCAAAGAAGAAGCAAAGAAACUCAGCUCAAAGGUGACACAGCCCUAAGACAGCAGAACAAACUGACCCAUGUGGCUAUGGAAGAAACAAAGAAUGGGCAGAGGCUCCGGGGCAGAAAGCGUGAGAAUUUCAUGACAUCAACCACGCAGAGCCCUUGGUAAUUCACCAGCUGGGGAUGUCACUCACCAACCUCAGUCCUGUGGUCUUGUCUAAGGUGCCAAUGCUGUUCACCUUCACUGGUAACCGAGUGUUAAGGUUUACAUAGAAAAUGUCUCCCGAGACGUGCUUGGCCCCUGGAGCACCAUGUCCAGUGACGUAGGUGACCGGGUCACAGGGCGCUUCGCUCCCCCGUGGAUCAAGCCACUGAAGCGCUCGCUGGGGGAAGGCUUGUUAGGAGGUGGGGUCCCGCUGGAUGACGUCACUGGGGGCGUGGCUUUGAAAAGCCUAUGUUGUGCCCAGCUCCUCCUCCACCGGAUCUUUCCCGUCUCUCUGCUUCCUGGCUACCAAGGUGAGCAGCUUUGCUCAGCCGCCCCCUCUCCACCGUGAUGUUCCUGCCUCAGCACAGGCCUAGAAGCAAUGGAGCUGGCUGAUCAGUCCCAGCCAGAAACCUCCAAAACCAUGAGCAACAUAAACCUCUCCUCUUGUGACUUUUGACUGUCUCAGGUAUUUUGUCACAGCAAUCGAAAACUUGAUUAAUACUCAGGGGUACCCUUGUUGGGUGACAGCACAACCAUGAGGACCUGGAACGGCGCAGCUGCUGGCCUGGGUCAAGGGAAAGGUCUUGGAGACGAAUGGUCAAAGUCCAGGUCACAGAGAGGGUGCCUUGGCCCAUCCCCUCUUCCCACACACUCAGCCUGAAGCACAGAGUUCCAGAUUUGCUGCCAGCCCCUGGCAGCUCUGGGGGACAGCAGUGGUGAGCAAGAGGGGACCCGUGCCCUGGGGACUAACAGUUUAGAUGCAGAGAAGGACCCAUCCCCAACCCCCAUGGAUAAAACGGAGGUUGAGUUGUGACCUAAGGGGUCCUGGAGAGCUUCCUGGAGGAGGUACAAUUGCACAUCCACCCCAAGGCCACUGGGCCCCAGAUGUGAGCUUCUGGCGCAGGCCAGACCUGGAUGAACCCCCUAAGUGACUGCUUGGCAAAGGCCACUGGCAAACCCAGUUUACAUUGGCCCAUUUGCAUAUCAUUUGCAUCUAUCUGCAUAUGUGGUGGCACUGCAUGGUCUUUUAUGCAUUUAAAUUGCAAGUCAUUUGUCUCUCCGUGAAAGCGCUCAUUUUUCCCCCACGGGGAGUUGGCUCCAUUCCCCCUGCCUGCCCUUCUAACACGGGGCACUGGCAGGCUUGCUCAGCACCGAGCAGGGCUGUGGAUCUCGGGGCGCAGGACAAGUUUGUUAUUCUGGUUUUCAGAGCCCCCUAUUAUUGUUAAGGGAGUCUUAACCCCUGGAUACAGAGGGAGUGUCGGGCAUGUGUGCCUUGUGCUACAGAUGGGGAAACUGAGGCAGGGAACGAGUGUGAGAUGUGCAGCCUCACUUACCGAGCUGCGGGCAGGACCUGAGUCAGAGGCCAGGCCUCCAAUUUCUGAUCCCGUGUUAGGGAGGUCCUGAGAGGCCAGCUCUGGAGUGCAUGGUGAGAAGAGCCCCAGAGAGGGUCAGGUUCUCAGCCAAAGCCGCACAGCCAGGCUAGGGUGCAGCCCGGGGCCCGAAGCCCUGCCAAGGGGGCUCUGCCCAGGGGGAGCCCAUGCGGGGCUUUCUUCCUGUCUAGGUUGCUGGACCAGGACCACUUAGCACAACCCACCCCACUCCACUGUGACUGGAAGCGGCCCAGAUCCGAGCUGGUGGCUUUCUGCUACGCAUCCCGAGGGUACCGCACCAGGCCCCGACGUGGCAGAGGACACCCAGCUCGCAGAUGUCACCUCCCGUGUAAACGUGUCACCAGAGCGGCCGGGACCUCCUGGAAGCCAGCAGUCCAGCCAGCUGUCAUGUCACUGGGGACAUUAUCCACGAGAUGCGACCCCCUGGAACGACAGCGCCCACGUCCUGAGUGCUUGGCUGGAGCAGCCUCGGUGCCGAGCACCCACUCAGUCAUUUCCAGUCCUUGUCCUCAUGCAUUCCUGCCAAGCGGAGGAGGCCACCAAGGCUCCGCCACACUGUGAAGUGUCCAGGUUGGGGCUGAGCAUCAGGGCAGGCUCCCUCCAGACGCCGGCAAAAGGCCCAGCACUUUCCUCAACCACCACUGUCUAACCUGCAGCCCCUCCUUUUUGGCACUCUUGUUUGUCUUGAGUGAAGAGGAAUUGUCUUGGGCUGCAUAUAAAAUAAAUAUUCUAGUAGCCAGAUGUGGUGGCACAUGUCUAAUCCCAGCACUCCGACUGUGGGAGGCUGAGGGAGGAGAAUCAUGAGUUUGCGCUCAGGUUGGGAAACUUGGUGACUUAGCAAGACCCUAUCUCAAAAUAAGACAUUUUUGGGCCAGAAUUUGGGAUAUAACUCAAUGUGAAGAUUUUGGGUUCAUCCCUGAUCUCUCUCUCUCUCUCUCUCACACACACAUACAUACACACAUUUGAAAGAUAUUUUUAUGAUAACAUUUUAAAAAGUGAGGAAAAGAAAGUUAGGCCAUACGUGG